ACACUCUGGAUUCCCUGUCACUCUCGCGUACUUCCAUCGCCUUUUACUAUGGAAAUCCGGGCAGGGGGUCAACUUGAGACCAUAUCUCUUUUUCUCAACCUCACUUUCGAGUGGGGG
Molecule: small nuclear RNA, 117 nt
Organism: Symsagittifera roscoffensis
Lineage: Eukaryota; Metazoa; Xenacoelomorpha; Acoela; Convolutidae
Product: U5 spliceosomal RNA
Exons: 1
Source: RefSeq, a predicted model, not a curated record